GAACUUAUAGUUGAAAUCCUGUCAAGGGUUCCUGUCAAAUUCCUGUUGCAGUUCAGGUGUGUUUCGAAAUCUUGGCUUGCUUUAAUCUCUAGCCCCAAAUUUGUCAAAACCCAUCUUAGUUUAUCUGUUAAGAACAAAGAUUACCUUUCUCAAAAAAAAUAUUUUCUUUCUCAAAAAGAACAAAAAUUACCCACACCACAGGGUUGUCUUGACAGUCAGGAAUGAGUCCAUUUCUGGUGAAUCCCG
This 246-nucleotide long non-coding RNA is filed under the name Solanum tuberosum (potato). RNAcentral's name for it is "long non-coding RNA (STUB_LNC009377)". The record is from RNAcentral. Lineage: Eukaryota; Viridiplantae; Streptophyta; Magnoliopsida; Solanales; Solanaceae.